AAUUUCUGCCCAUUUUCCCCCCAAUUUACCCCCCAUUUUCCCCACAUUUACACCUUUUUACCGUUUCCCCCAUUCUUGCCCUUUUACCCCCAUUUAUGCCCAUUUUUCACCCCAUUUCCACCCAUUUCAUGCCCAUUUUCCCCCCAUUUACCCCCUUUUUAACCCCAUUUAUGCCCAUUUUCCCCCCAUUUCCCCCUUUUUACCUCCUUUAUGCCCUUCCCCCCAUUUACCCCUUUAUGCCCAUUUAUCCCCCUAUUUCCCCCUAUUUCCCCCCCUUUACCCCCUUUUUACCCAUUUUACCCCCAUUUCCGCCCUUUUUAAACCCUAUAGGAACCCUAUGGAAACCCUAUAGGAACCAUAUAGGAACCCUAUAGGAACCCUAUAGAAACCCUAUAGGAACCCUAUAGAAACCAUAUAGACACCCUAUAGGAACCCUAUAGAAACUGUAUAGGAACCCUAUAGAAACCCUAUAGAAACGCUAUAGGAACCCUAUAGGAACCCUAUAGAAACCCUAUAGAUCCCCAUAUAUAGAAACCCUAUAGAAACCCUAUAGGAAUCCUAUAGACACCCUAUAAAGACCCUAUAGAUCCCCAUAUAGAAACCCUAUAGAAGCCAUAUAGAUCCCCUUAUAGAAACCCUAUAGGAACCCUAUAGAUCCCCUUAUAGAAACCCUAUAGAUCCCCAUAUAGAAACCCUAUAGACACCCUAUAGACACCCUAUAAAGACCCCAUAGAUCCCCAUAUAGAAACCCUAUAGAUCCCCCUAUAGAAACCCUAUAGAAAUCCUAUAGGUCCCCAUAUAGAAACCCUAUAGAUCCCCCAUAUAGAAGCCCUAUAGAUCCCCAUAUAGAAACCCUAUAGAUCCCCAUAUAGAAACCCUAUAGAGCCCCCCAUAUAUGAAUCCUAUAGACCCCCCAUAUAUAAGUCUUAUAGUCUUCAUAUAAGCUCUAUAGGCCUCCCCCUAUACACCAGCCCUACAUAUACCCCAUAUAGAAACUCAAUAGACCCUUCUCAUGUAUAAACCCUAUUGAGUCCCAUAUAGAAACCCUAUUGAGUCCCAUAUAGAAACCCUAUAGAUGCCCCCCAUAUAUAACUCUUAUAGUCUUUAUCCCCAUAUAAGCUCUAUAGGCCUCCCCCCAUAUACCAGCCCUACAUAUACCCCAUAUAUAAACCCAAUAGACUCAUGUAUAAACCCUAUAGACCUUCCCCCAUAUAUAAACCCUAUAGACCCCCCAUAUACAAACCCUAUAGACCCCCCAUAUACAAACCCUAUAGACCCCCCAUAUACAAACCCUAUAGACCCCCCAUAUAUAACCCUAUGGACCCCAUAAUAGAAACCCUAUAGAUCCCUAUAGAAACUCUCUAGAUCCCCCUA
RNAcentral lists this long non-coding RNA (1374 nucleotides) under Coturnix japonica (Japanese quail). Its description in RNAcentral is "lncRNA (ENSCJPG00005000112.1)". The record is from RNAcentral. Lineage: Eukaryota; Metazoa; Chordata; Aves; Galliformes; Phasianidae.